RNAcentral lists this microRNA precursor (92 nucleotides) under Glycine max (soybean). RNAcentral describes it as "miR9731 stem-loop (gma-MIR9731)". The record is from miRBase by way of RNAcentral. Lineage: Eukaryota; Viridiplantae; Streptophyta; Magnoliopsida; Fabales; Fabaceae.
UCUGCAUACAUAUCGUGUUGCCAAGCCGUCUCCAUCAAAACAGGGACCAAGCGUGCCUGGAGACAGCAAGGCAGAACGAUAUGUACGCAGAU